CUACACAUGCAAGUCGAACGGUAACAGGUCUUCGGACGCUGACGAGUGGCGAACGGGUGAGUAUACAUCGGAACGUGCCCAGUCGUGGGGGAUAACUACUCGAAAGAGUAGCUAAUACCGCAUACGAUCUGAGGAUGAAAGCGGGGGACCUUCGGGCCUCGCGCGAUUGGAGCGGCCGAUGGCAGAUUAGGUAGUUGGUGGGAUAAAAGCUUACCAAGCCGACGAUCUGUAGCUGGUCUGAGAGGACGACCAGCCACACUGGGACUGAGACACGGCCCAGACUCCUACGGGAGGCAGCAGUGGGGAAUUUUGGACAAUGGGCGAAAGCCUGAUCCAGCAAUGCCGCGUGCAGGAUGAAGGCCUUCGGGUUGUAAACUGCUUUUGUACGGAACGAAAAAGCUUCUCCUAAUACGAGAGGCCCAUGCGGUACCGUAAGAUAAGU
Molecule: ribosomal RNA, 442 nt
Filed under: bacterium CYB26
Lineage: Bacteria
Description: bacterial SSU rRNA
Rfam family: Bacterial small subunit ribosomal RNA
Source: RNAcentral